GCAUGAUAGUGUUUUGAAAGUAAAAAAAAGAUUCAAAAUCACAUUUUAUGUUGGACUAACGGACUAAAAAAAGACACAAAAUGACCAAAAAAAGACACAAAAUGACAAAAAAAGACACAAAAUGACCAAAAAAGACACAAAAUGACAAAAAAAAUACACAAAAUGACCAAAAAAGACACAAAAUGACCAAAAAAAGACACAAAAUGACCAAAAAAGACACAAAAUGACUUACAAAGACAUGAAAAGAAUUCAAAAAUGGACAAAAUAGCCCAAGACUCCAUAGAGUUAAGUUGUUAACCCAUUUCUUGUUCCCUGAAAAAGGCCUACUUGUAUAAUUCUGAAAUGUACAUUAUUUUUCAGUUUUGCUUACCUUUUUUAUUUACCUCUGGCAGUUCGCCACUUACCUUUGUACCCUCCCUGGCUUUUCAUUUGACUUGAACUGCUUGAAUUUCAAUAAAAAACUGGAAAAAUUGGGGUGUUCUAAAACUUUUGACCGGUAGUGUAUAUAUUUUUUGUGAUUAUAGAAUCUUAAUCAGUUUAAGCAAAUGGAAUAUAUGUAUUUAAAGUCAAACAGAAAAGUCUUCAGUCUUGAUUGAAAAGAGUUGAGAGCUGCAGCAGACCUGUAGUUUAUUUGGGAGCUUGUUCUAGAUAUGUGGUGCAUAAAAACUGAAUGCUGCCUCUCCAUGUUUAGUUCUGACUCUGGGAACAUGGAGCAGACCUGUCCCAGAUGAUCUGAGAGUUCUGGAUGGUUCGUAGCUAAGCAGAAGAUCAGAAAUGUAUUUCGGCCCUAAACCAUUCAGUGCUUUUUAGACCAACAAUAGUGUUUUGAAAUCAGUUCUUUGACAGACAGGAAGCCAGUGUAAGGACCUCAGAACUGGAGAAAUAUGAUCUACUUUUUUGGUCUUAGUAAGGACUCGAGCUGCAGCGUUUCUGAAUGAGCUUUUUUGUUUAAUUUGAGAAAAUUAUUCUCCAUUGUAUCGUCGAUUUGCUCAAUGCAUCUACAUAGUUCUAGUAUUGACUAUAGUCCCCUGGUGAUAUUGUUAUGGAAAUUUGUGUGUUGUCCUCAUAGCUAUGGUAAAAUAUUUUGUUGCUUUUCAUGAUCUGAGCCAGUGGCAGCAUGCAGAUGUUAAACAGAAGAGGCCCCAGGAUGGAACCUUGCGGAACUCCACAUGUCAUUUUUGCAUAUUCAGAUGUGUAAUUACCUACAGAGACAACGUAGUCCCUGUCCUUCAAUAAAUGUCAUUGAAGACCUUCACAAGAGCCGUCUCAGUGCUGUGGUGUGGUCUAAAUCCUGACUGGAAGACAUCAGAACAGCUGUUCAUUAACAUUAAGUUGUUCAGCUGCUUUAAAACAGCUUUUUCAAUGAUUUUACUGAGAAAUGGGAGGUUUGAUAUUGGUCUAUAAUUUCUCAUAAGUGAAGCGUCUCAAUUGUUCUUUUUAAAUAAAGGUUUGAUAACAGCAGUUUUCAGGGACUGUGGGAAGACACCUGAAAGAAGAGGCGUGUUAACAAUCUGUAGGAGGUCUGAGGCCAUGCAGUUUGAGACAUUUUUGAAAAGGUCUGUUAUAUAUCCUCCAAGUUUUUAGCGUUAAUCACGUAAAAUUGUGUCAUGGUAUUUGAAUUGAUUUUAAGUGGACUCAUUGACUCAUCAUUAAGUGGACUCAUUGAUAACACAUUUCCUGCACAUGAUGUUGAGGCACUGACCAAUCUUUAAAAACCUCAUCAUGCAGAAAUGAAGCAGCCAGCAUGUUUUUCUAUGAUUGUUUUAAGGAUGAAAAGAGAAUUAGUCGACGAUGAAUGGUUUAUGUUAAGCAGCUGAACACAUUUGAACGAAACAGUUUUCAGGCAGGAUAACAAUUUAAGGAAUUAAUUCAGUUUAUACCAGUUCAAAACAGUGUAACUAUAUCUUUGAUAAAAACAUGUUACUUCCUGCUACCUGGUAUGAAAUAAUCCACUCUUAGGUUACAUGUAGCUCAACAACUCUUGUUUCUCUUCUGCAGAGAUACAAAAUCAGCGUGAGCUUCUGUGCAUGUUGUGAAACCUGCAGUCUGAAGGGCAGAAGCUUUAACGCUCAUCGACAAGCUUAGUUUACACUUUGUCUGAAUAAAGUUGAUUGACAAUGUCUCGAUUCAUGUUGUACUUACAGUGGAAAGGUGUCGUACAGCAGAUUAACAGUCUCAGAGUCGACAGCAGAUCUGCUCUUUAACUGCUGUGUGACUGACGAGCCUUACACUGACUGUUGUGCAACAUGUGGGUCAGAGGCAAGGGUCAACACAGGUUGUUUGAUGAUUGAACUGACUGAAGCUGUGAUGUUUCACUGCAAUUGUAGUUUGAAAUGAUCAAACAGAGACAUGUCAGGCUAUGACAAAUAUUUCCUGAUGUUUACAAGAGAAAUGCUGCCAGGAUGGAGAAGCUGCACAAACACAAAGAACUCAAACACUUUAAUGUUUCCACCUCUUAUUCCUCUGUUUGAGAUCCUCAUCAUGUGCUUGUGAAUGCAAGAUUCAUGGAACAUUUAACGAUUUAGCAAUUGGCAUGACUUUUUGUCCAAUCAUGUACGAUUUAAUCUCUAUUUUUUGUGUUUUCUGUGCACUCCAGGAAGAGUAAGUCCCAUCAGGAUACGACACAAACUCAUGUUAAAGUAUUUUUUCCUGAGCUUUUUGUCUCAUUCUGGGUUUUACUUUAGAAGCUGAAACCACAAUAAGGAAUAUUUUUAUUUUUUGUUUUUCUUACAGUUUGAGGCUGAAGACAUGCUACUCUCUAAUAUUUACACCUCCCUUAUACCUCUCCUCUCACUGCUUUGAUCAUAUUUAUACAUUUUAAACAUUUCAAGAUAUCAACUGAAUAUCUUUGUGUUUUUUGUCAUUUAUUAUACUUUGCAUUUGUUCAUCUUAUAAAGAAUGUAUUCCAGCAAAUGCACGAUUAAAUGAACUCAAACCAUAUAUAAAAAUACGGUGAAGAGUUUGAAUGAAUGAGAGUGAAAAAUGUGCCAGAAAGCAAAACAUUAAUCAAAUACAGUCAGGUUGAGAGAAUUCAUACAGACGCUAAAUCCUGAAUGUGACACAUUAAAUGUACAAAUAACAAUAUUGGAGAAAAAGUCAUUUUAGUGAGUUUGCUGGGACAUAUAAUAAGUGACAAAUGCAUUUGGCCACUUUAUCUUGUGAUGAAAAGGAGAAUAUAAGUUCAUAACAACUUUGAUUCUUAGUGCAAGUUACAGGAGUGCUUUAGAGCUGGUCCAACUGAUGAAAUAAAAACACACUGACAUGUUGGUAGACAUUGCUCCCUGUCACAUGUUCCUGCUGGCUGGAAAACAAAAAUGUUGUUCAACUUGUUUAGUUUCAGUCGACCUAUCAAAAUGUUCGCGCCUCACCAGAGGAUUUUGACAUUGUUGAUCAGAGGCUGAAAACAUGCUACUUUCUAAUAUUUACACCUCCCUUAUACCUCUCCUCUCACUGCUUUGAUCAUAUUUAUACAUUUUAUACAUUUCAAGAUAUCAACUGAAUAUCUUUGUGUUUUUUGUCAUUUAUUAUAUUUUGCAUUUGUUCAUCUUAUAAAGAAUGUAUUCCAGCAAAUGCACGAUUAAAUUAACUCAAACCAUAUAUAAAAAUACGGUGAAGAAUUUGAAUGAAUGAGAGUGAAAAAUGUGCCAGAAAGCAAAACAUUAAUCAAAUACAGUCAGGUUGAGAGAAUUCAUACAGAAGCUAAACCUGAAUGUGACACAUU
RNA transcript from Centropristis striata (black sea bass), 3721 nucleotides. It is a transcript of the gene named nuclear factor 7, brain-like, with no coding region annotated. NCBI's taxonomy places the organism in Eukaryota, Metazoa, Chordata, Actinopteri, Perciformes, Serranidae. The record is from RefSeq and is a predicted model, not a curated record. The transcript is spliced from 2 exons.